This 422-nucleotide ribosomal RNA is filed under the name uncultured bacterium. RNAcentral describes it as "partial 16S ribosomal RNA". It matches the Rfam family "Bacterial small subunit ribosomal RNA", at positions 359 to 773 of the family's 1533-position model. The record is from RNAcentral.
GAAUAUUUGACAAUGGGGGCAACCCUGUUCCAGCCAUGCCGCGAGUGUGAAGAAGGUCUUCGGAUUGUAUAGCACUUUAAUUUGGGAGGAAGGGCUUUAGGUUAAUACCCUGAAGUGUUGACGUCACCAACAGACUAAGCACCGGCUAACUCUGUGCCAGCAGCCGCGGUAAUACAGAGGGUGCAAGCGUUAAUCGGAAUUACUGGGCGUAAAGCGCGCGUAGGUGGUUCAGUAAGAUGGGUGUGAAAUCCCCGGGCUUAACCUGGGAACUGCUUUCAUAACUGCUGAGCUAGAGUACGGUAGAGGGUAGUGGAAUUUCCUGUGUAGCGGUGAAAUGCGUAGAUAUAGGAAGGAACACCAGUGGCGAAGGCGACUACCUGGACUGAUACUGACACUGAGGUGCGAAAGCGUGGGGAGCAAAC